UGACAUUAGCGUUGUACUCGUGCAG
This 25-nucleotide non-coding RNA is filed under the name Mus musculus (house mouse). The record is from RNAcentral. Lineage: Eukaryota; Metazoa; Chordata; Mammalia; Rodentia; Muridae.